RNAcentral lists this unclassified non-coding RNA (400 nucleotides) under uncultured fungus. RNAcentral's name for it is "sequence contains ITS1". The stretch from base 1 to 105 matches the Rfam family "5.8S ribosomal RNA", at positions 50 to 154 of the family's 154-position model. The record is from RNAcentral. Lineage: Eukaryota; Fungi.
GAAAUGCGAUACGUAAUGUGAAUUGCAGAAUUCAGUGAAUCAUCGAAUCUUUGAACGCAUAUUGCGCCUUCUGGUAUUCCGGAGGGCAUGCUUGUUUGAGUAUCAGUAACAACCUCAACUCUUCUUCAUUGCGGAGAAAGAGUUGGAUUUGAGCAUUUCCACAAGUUCGUCUUGGAGGAUUGCUUGAAAUAUGAGGUUCGGCCGGCAGUUGCCUGGGCUACAAGCAUUUCUGCUUAGUCCGGUCAAACGGAUUAUACCUUUUUGCUGCAGCCAAACGAUAGUUGGGCUCCCGAAACGCUGACUGAUGCAGGAUAAUAUUUGACAGAUUUCGAGGGGGUUUUUUUUUUCUCCCUUCGAUCUUUGUUUGUUCCACUCGAUCUCAAAUCAAGUAAGACUACCC